CAGGAAAAGAAAAUAAAUAAUGAUUCCCCUAGUAGUGGCGAGCGAACGGGGACCAGCCCAAACCACCUAUGUUACGGCAUAUGUGGGGUUGUAGGACCACGUUGUGGCAAGAAAACCGGUGAGUAGAAUGUUCUGGAAAGUUCAACCAUAGAGCAUGAUAGUUGCGUAUACGAAGCCAGUCGAAGCCUAGUGGUAUCCUGAGUAGCGCGGAGCACGAGGAAUUCUGCGUGAAU
Bacteroides stercoris is the source of this 233-nucleotide ribosomal RNA. It matches the Rfam family "Bacterial large subunit ribosomal RNA", at positions 213 to 443 of the family's 2925-position model. The record is from Rfam. NCBI's taxonomy places the organism in Bacteria, Pseudomonadati, Bacteroidota, Bacteroidia, Bacteroidales, Bacteroidaceae.